Molecule: ribosomal RNA, 403 nt
Filed under: Fusobacteriota bacterium
Lineage: Bacteria; Fusobacteriati; Fusobacteriota
Description: Fusobacteria bacterium partial 16S ribosomal RNA
Rfam family: Bacterial small subunit ribosomal RNA
Source: RNAcentral
UGGGGAAUCUUGCACAAUGGGGGAAACCCUGAUGCAGCGACGCCGCGUGAGCGAUGAAGGUUUUCGAUUCGAAAAGCUUUGUCCUAUGGGAAGAUAAUGACGGUACCAUGGGAGGAAGCCCCGGCUAACUACGUGCCAGCAGCCGCGGUAAUACGUAGGGGGCGAGCGUUGUCCGGAAUUACUGGGCGUAAAGUGUUCGCAGGCGGCAUGGCAAGUCCGAUGUAAAAGGCGAAGGCUCAACCUUCGUAAGCAUCGGAAACUGUCAAGCUUGAGUGAAGGAGAGGCAAGGAGAAAUCCUAGUGUAGCGGUGGAAUGCGUAGAUAUUAGGAGGAAUACCGGUGGCGAAGGGGACUUGCUGGACUUCAACUGACGCUGAGGAACGAAAGCGUGGGUAGCAAAAAGG